RNAcentral lists this ribosomal RNA (297 nucleotides) under Cecropia litoralis. Its description in RNAcentral is "partial large subunit ribosomal RNA". Lineage: Eukaryota; Viridiplantae; Streptophyta; Magnoliopsida; Rosales; Urticaceae. The record is from RNAcentral.
UGAGAGUCAAAGAGUGCUUGAAAUUGUCGGGAGGGAAGCGGAUGGGGGCCGGCGAUGCGCCUCGGUCGGAUGCGGAACGGCGAGAGCCGGUCCGCCGAUCGACUCGGGGCGCGGACCGAUGCGGAUUGCGGCGGCGGCCCAAGCCCGGGCUGUCGAUAUGCCCGUGGAGACGUCGUCGCCGCGAUUGUGGUAGGCAGCGCGCGCCGUCCCGGCGUGCCUCGGCAUCUGCGCGCUCCUGGCGUCGGCCCGCGGGCUCCCCAUUCGGCCCGUCUUGAAACACGGACCAAAGGAGUCUGA